This is a long non-coding RNA of Acipenser ruthenus (sterlet), 2291 nucleotides long. RefSeq lists it as uncharacterized. NCBI's taxonomy places the organism in Eukaryota, Metazoa, Chordata, Actinopteri, Acipenseriformes, Acipenseridae. The record is from RefSeq and is a predicted model, not a curated record. The transcript has 4 exons.
GUAGAAGGAAGCAGAAGAGAGGUGCUCUGCUUCCGAGCAGUCCUAAAAGAUUUUUUCUUUAAGUGGAGCCCACCCCACACCUGACAACGAUACCUCACUGACAUUGGCGCUCAUUACCCCCAACUACAGAAACAUCCCCUGCAUAGCUUGCACUGAAGUAAUGAGCCGUGUUAGUGUUCCAGUGCUUGGACUGCCAUGUCAUCUGCCUGGACUGUUUCCACCUUUACUGCGUGACAAAGCUGAAUCAACGGCAGUAUGUUCAUGACCCUCAGAUUGGAUAUUCCUUGCCACGUGCAGCAGAUGCCCUUAUAGCAGCAGUGUCCCCCACCUGGGAUUGAACCCACGACCCUCCAGUCAAGAGUCCAAAGCCCCAACCACUACUCCACACUCUAUGCAUCAAUAACUGCUGCUACAGAGGCAUUAACAAUUGGACCUCGGUUUUACAUCUCAUCUGAAUGACGAGGACAUUACUUAUUGUGAGUUUGAAAGUCCUAUAAACUCUAGUAGGAAAGGUCAAUAGUUACUGUACAUUGUGAUUAUCUCUGACAAUGCCAGGAACAUAGCUUUUUUCUGUAACAUGUUUAAAUAUAUAACUGACCUUAUUUAUGGUCUUUGAGAUACAGGUUUCUGUGUCUUCUGAAUGUCUAUGGAACAGGGGCAGGUUGUGAGAUAUGUGAUGGAUCCAAUUAUGGGGAAAUCGCACAAUUCCAGAGUUUCAGAUAAUGUCAUUGUCAGAUGUUGACAAGCCUCAUCCAGUUUAAUGACAAACUUGAGAGCUGUCAGCUACAAUGACAGACUGUAUUAGUUCAUAUCAGUGACGAAUCGCAGUCAACACACCUUAAGCCCAUCUAAAAGUAAAUAUUUGUUUUUAUUAUACCAAUUUAUCACCAGGCUUUUUUUUUUUUGCUGAAGUCAUAGAGUGAAUAUAAUUUCAAUGAAAAAGUGGUGGUGGAAAUAAAGAGCCUGAUAACAAUGCACUGUUGAGCUAAACACUCAUUGACAACUGUCAUUGGCUGCAUCGGUCAUUGAUUCCUCAACCUUGUUUACAAAUCCUGAAGGAAUGUCCCUUAAAAUGAAGUUCACUAUCCCUAACAUGACUUUGAGUCAUGAAAUAAAAUGUCAAUAAAUAGAAUUACGCAAGAUCAUUGGAGGUGUUUAUUGAAACAAGGCCAAUGCAAUGGUAUUAGUGAUGGUGGGUGGUAAUGGAGCUCAGCUGGGAUCAAUUCAAUGAACCUUUUCCGCUGUAAUAAACAGCAGUGAUUAUAGAUGUACGUAUGGGAAUUGAAUCAAGAUGUCAUCAGUGACGUGUCUAAUACAAAUAGAUCUUGUUUCCUAUUCCUUCGGUUUAUUUAUGAUUUUUAUGUUCUCAAAAUGUUUUUUUACUGCUAAAAAGAUAAUUGAAUUGGGCACUUUGUCUCGGCUCACUAAUCACGUACGCCCAGCAAUCAAUCAGUCAGUAAUCAAUAUAUCAUCCUGGGGCUGUGAGUUGGUGGGGGGAUGCCAUAUUACACAUUGUGGACCUUUAUUGGUUUAAAUGCUUUUCAAUUAUAGUCAAAAUAUCAUUGCAAUAUUCUUAUUUUGAAGAGGUUAUCAGAUGGAGAUACUUAGGACAGUAUCAGGAUGAGGAGAUUUCUUUUUUACGAUAGUCUUUCUCGGUUAGUUAAAGACCUCAUUUCAAAAGCACCCAGCCCGUGAAAUCCAAUUUUUAUUAUUAUCUUUAACUAUCAUUCUGAACUAUCUAAUGGUCCCUGAACAUUUGCAUCCUGUUCAGAUCAAGCAAUGAAAGAAGAAUGACUUGUUGGAAUGAAACUUUCUAAGGGUCAAACGUGAGAGAUUAUAAGCAGUUCUUUAUGAGUUAAGCUGGAUAAGACACCAGAGAAACGUCUCACCAUGUCUUUGAGAAAGCCGCCCCUGGGACAUAGUUUAAUUGCACACAGUGUACUACUCAAACAAUAUACUGCACAUACAGCUUUAAUGACUAUGGGAAUGUUUUAUAUGAGAGAGAGUGCCAUGGAAUAUUAGUAGAUGCUUGUGCAUAGCGGUUGAGCUGUUCCUGUUGGGGUUUUUUGUUUGUUGUUGGUGGUUUACUGCUGGUCUUAUGUUUUAGAGCAUCUGUUGCCAUGGUGUUUUUAGAAGCCUACACUUGUAAUAAAUUCUGACUAUGCACACAACAAUAAAGCAGAUGUACAAAUUGAAGCUUGAAGUACUACCAUUAUGUUUUCCAGAUGUGUGACCCCAUGACUUGAAAAGGCAAAAGUGCUUUUUGUGGAAAGGGCUAUUUUGGGAUGAAA